AAGGACUGGGCAAGACCGGUGCCAGCCGCCGCGGUAAUACCGGCAGUCCAAGUGAUGGCCGAUAUUAUUGGGCCUAAAGCGUCCGUAGCCGGCCGGACAAGUCCGUUGGGAAAUCGACGCGCUCAACGCGUCGGCGUCCAGCGGAAACUGUCCGGCUUGGGGCCGGAAGACCUGAGGGGUACGUCCGGGGUAGGAGUGAAAUCCUGUAAUCCUGGACGGACCACCAAUGGGGAAACCACCUCAGGAAGACGGACCCGACGGUGAGGGACGAAAGCUAGGGUCUCGAACCGGAUUAGAUACCCGGGUAGUCCUAGCUGUAAACGAUGCUCGCUAGGUGUGCCGUAGGCUAUGAGCCUGCGCUGCGCCCUAGGGAAGCCGAGAAGCGAGCCGCCUGGGAAGUACGUCUGCAAGGAUGAAACUUAAAGGAAUUGGCGGGGGAGCACCACAACCGGAGGAGCCUGCGGUUUAAUUGGACUCAACGCCGGACAUCUCACCNCUUUACUCGACGCUACUGAGAGGAGGUGCAUGGCCGCCGUCAGCUCGUACCGUGAGGCGUCCUGUUAAGUCAGGCAACGAGCGAGACCCGCACUUCUAGUUGCCAGCAAUACCCUUGAGGUAGUUGGGUACACUAGGAGGACUGCCGCUGCUAAAGCGGAGGAAGGAACGGGCAACGGUAGGUCAGUAUGCCCCGAAUGGACCGGGCAACACGCGGGCUACAAUGGC
This 723-nucleotide ribosomal RNA is filed under the name Haloarcula argentinensis DSM 12282. RNAcentral describes it as "bacterial SSU rRNA". It matches the Rfam family "Archaeal small subunit ribosomal RNA", at positions 437 to 1190 of the family's 1478-position model. The record is from RNAcentral. Lineage: Archaea; Methanobacteriati; Methanobacteriota; Halobacteria; Halobacteriales; Haloarculaceae.